UGGUCUCCAGCACACCUUUCUUGGUAGAGUUGAGAAUUCAACCAGCCAAUUCUUCCUGGAGAUUCUCAGAGCCACAUUGCGAGAGCAGGAGACUAACAAGUGCUGCCCUAUCCAUGGUGACUCCCCUUGGCCUCUAGGCUUGUCUGAGCAGAGGUAGGGUGACCCUGCCGCCUGUUCCUCAACAGUCUGUGCAAAUUCAAAGAACUAGAGUGUGAAUUCAAGGAACUCAUUUGAAGAACAGGAAAAGCAACUCUCUCCUUGAGGUAUGGGGAAAUGAAGGUUGAAACAUGGAUCAGAAGACUUGCUGAGGUCUCUUCCACCCUCAACUCUUCCGUUCUGUUCCCAAUGAGGCCCAAAACGCAGCUUUCUCCAUCGCUCUUUAAUCUGUUGGUUGAUUUGUCUGGUGCACCCAACCAGCACCGUGGCCCUGAAAAUAAAAUAUUAAUUACAUCAA
Molecule: long non-coding RNA, 454 nt
Filed under: Pongo abelii (Sumatran orangutan)
Lineage: Eukaryota; Metazoa; Chordata; Mammalia; Primates; Hominidae
Description: lincRNA
Source: RNAcentral